GAAUAUUGGACAAUGGGGGCAACCCUGAUCCAGCCAUGCCGCGUGCGUGAAGAAGGCCUUAGGGUUGUAAAGCGCUUUCACUGGUGAAGAUGAUGACGGUAGCCAGAGAGGAAGCCCCGGCUAACUCUGUGCCAGCAGCCGCGGUAAUACAGAGGGGGCAAGCGUUGUUCGGAAUUACUGGGCGUAAAGGGCGCGUAGGCGGCCUUCUAAGUCGAACGUGAAAUCCCCGGGCUCAACCCGGGAACUGCGUCCGAUACUGGAAGGCUUGAAUCCGGGAGAGGGAUGUGGAAUUCCAGGUGUAGCGGUGAAAUGCGUAGAUAUCUGGAGGAACACCGGUGGCGAAGGCGGCAUCCUGGACCGGUAUUGACGCUGAUGCGCGAAAGCCAGGGGAGCAAACGGG
RNAcentral lists this ribosomal RNA (400 nucleotides) under uncultured bacterium. RNAcentral describes it as "bacterial SSU rRNA". It matches the Rfam family "Bacterial small subunit ribosomal RNA", at positions 359 to 776 of the family's 1533-position model. The record is from RNAcentral.